Non-coding RNA from Podarcis lilfordi (Lilford's wall lizard), 325 nucleotides. The record is from the annotation of a GenBank genome assembly. Lineage: Eukaryota; Metazoa; Chordata; Lepidosauria; Squamata; Lacertidae.
GGAUGUGAGGGCGAUCUGGCUGCGACAUCUGUCACCCCAUUGAUCGCCAGGGUUGAUUCGGCUGAUCUGGCUGGCUAGGCGGGUGUCCCCUUCCUCCCUCACCGCUCCAUGUGCGUCCCUCCCGAAGCUGCGCGCUCGGUGGAAGAGGACGACCAUCCCAGAUAGAAGGAGUGUACCGUUCUUCGGUCAAGGAUGAAGCACCACUGAUGAGUAUUGGGGCAGCCUUUAUGGUUUGUCCUGUCCUAGUACUGGCAGGGGAAACUCACAGCCUUAUUUUUCUCUCCCUUCAAGAAAGAGAAGUCCAAAACCUGCAGCACUCCUGCUU